AUGUCAAGUCAUCAUGGUUCUUACGGGUCGGGCCACAAACGUACUACAAUGGCGAUAACAAUGGGUCGCAAUGCCGCAAGGCAAAGCCAAUCCUUAAAUAUUGCCCCAGUUCAGAUUGCCCUCUGCAACUCGAGGACAUGAAGUCGGAAUUGCUAGUAAUCGCUGAUCAGAAUGCAGCGGUGAAUUCGUUCCCGGGUCUU
This 200-nucleotide ribosomal RNA is filed under the name uncultured prokaryote. RNAcentral's name for it is "partial 16S ribosomal RNA". It matches the Rfam family "Bacterial small subunit ribosomal RNA", at positions 1182 to 1382 of the family's 1533-position model. The record is from RNAcentral.